Molecule: transfer RNA, 74 nt
Filed under: Fasciola hepatica (liver fluke)
Lineage: Eukaryota; Metazoa; Platyhelminthes; Trematoda; Plagiorchiida; Fasciolidae
Description: tRNA-Pro
Source: RNAcentral
AGCUCAGUGGUCUACGCGUAUGAUACUCGCUUGGGGUGCGAGAGUGGCCCAGGUUUCGCAUCCUGGCCGAGCCC